Etheostoma cragini (Arkansas darter) is the source of this 90-nucleotide long non-coding RNA. RefSeq lists it as uncharacterized. The transcript has 3 exons. The record is from RefSeq and is a predicted model, not a curated record. Lineage: Eukaryota; Metazoa; Chordata; Actinopteri; Perciformes; Percidae.
AUCUGAGUCCAUUACUAGUCCAAGAUUUCUGGCCUUGUCUGUUGUUUGUAGCAGUGUCGUUUGAAGCUGAGUGCUGACUUUCAACUGUUC